RNAcentral lists this ribosomal RNA (497 nucleotides) under uncultured bacterium. RNAcentral's name for it is "partial 16S ribosomal RNA". It matches the Rfam family "Bacterial small subunit ribosomal RNA", at positions 28 to 507 of the family's 1533-position model. The record is from RNAcentral.
GACGAACGCUGGCGGCGUGCCUAAUACAUGCAAGUUGAGCGAUGAAGUUUGGUGCUUGCACCAAUUUGAAGAGCAGCGAACGGGUGAGUAACGCGUGGGGAAUCUGCCUUUGAGCGGGGGACAACAUUUGGAAACGAAUGCUAAUACCGCAUAACAACUUUAAACAUAAGUUUUAAGUUUGAAAGAUGCAAUUGCAUCACUCAAAGAUGAUCCCGCGUUGUAUUAGCUAGUUGGUGAGGUAAAGGCUCACCAAGGCGAUGAUACAUAGCCGACCUGAGAGGGUGAUCGGCCACAUUGGGACUGAGACACGGCCCAAACUCCUACGGGAGGCAGCAGUAGGGAAUCUUCGGCAAUGGACGAAAGUCUGACCGAGCAACGCCGCGUGAGUGAAGAAGGUUUUCGGAUCGUAAAACUCUGUUGGUAGAGAAGAACGUUGGUGAGAGUGGAAAGCUCAUCAAGUGACGGUAACUACCCAGAAAGGGACGGCUAACUACGUG